CAAACCAAAGCUGGCGACCGGCGCACGGGUGAGUAACACGUAUCCAACCUGCCUCAUACUCGGGGAUAGCCUUUCGAAAGAAAGAUUAAUAUCCGAUAGCAUAUAUUUCCCGCAUGGGUUUUAUAUUAAAGAAAUUCGGUAUGAGAUGGGGAUGCGUUCCAUUAGUUUGUUGGGGGGGUAACGGCCCACCUAGUCAACGAUGGAUAGGGGUUCUGAGAGGAAGGUCCCCCACAUUGGAACUGAGACACGGUCCAA
Molecule: ribosomal RNA, 255 nt
Filed under: uncultured bacterium
Lineage: Bacteria
Description: partial 16S ribosomal RNA
Rfam family: Bacterial small subunit ribosomal RNA
Source: RNAcentral